CAAUUCUACAGGAAAAAAAACGAUUCUACAUAUGCCCGUCUCUCUAUCCCCACGAGAACACGAACCAUCCCGGCCGCCCGGCGCUAGGGUUCCCUCCGCCGCCGCGCCCCAUCCCUCCGCUCCCAGCAACCCUCUCCACCCUCUCCCAUCCCCAGUCGUCUCGUAGCCCCUCGCCGCCGUUCGAUAUCCAAGACGGAGCCUCGGCCGACAGCUCCUUGGAGCACGCCGCCCGCCGGUGGAUGCCCUGAUUCUGCGCGACCCCGCCGGAGACUCACCUCGCCACCUUGGCGCCUCCCGCAGGAUCUCCGCCACCGCCUAGCGCUUCUGUGCGCAAGGAUGCCGACGCCUCUCCCUGGUACCUCUAUCUCCGCUCCCUCGGGGCGCUGCUCACUGCUCCACACCCCUUUCCUCUCCCAUCCAAUACGGCUCACGGCCUGCUACAGACGCCUGCCGGCUCCCGUGCAGGCCCUCCUGGUGGACAGCCUCCAGCCCACACAAGCUUCCCUGUUCUGGCUCUGUCGCCUACCAUGGUUGAGUAGAGCGAGGAGAUCGAGAGGGGAAAUAGUCACUUGAUUUUUGCGGAUUAUGUUGAGCAUGGAGAUUGAUCUUAACUUUUUGGUUGUCCGCAGAUUCAAUGAUGACAACACGCACACCUUUCCCUGAUGCUUGGGCAAAGGCAUGUAUGUCCGAUGUGCAGGCAAAACUUUAUAGAUGCUGAUUACAUACAUUAGAAAUUGCCAACUCGGUGGAUGAUACCUACUAUGACUUGGGACUCAGAAAAAAGAUCAACACGUAGAUGCAGAUUACAUAGAUCAGGACUUGCUAACUCGGCGUAUGACACAUACUAAACGACAUCAACACGUAGGUAUGAGAGUUCGGAAUAUCCAACACAUGGAUGGCGCGCACUGCAAUUUUCUUCUUCUUUUGAGCUGGAUGGCACUGCGCAAUCUGAUGUAGUGGAGUGGUUCAGUCUAUAAAUUGGUUUUGGCACAUUCAAAAUUAUUAGCUAGAUUUAAUCGUGAAUUCAUCUGGUUCUAUACAUGUUCUAGAGGUUUAGAGGUUUUAGUUGCAAGGAUACCAUAUCGUAAGAUGCACAUUCACAUCUGAAGGUUAAAUGUAUUCAACAAAUCGGGUGAUCAUGCGGUUGGAUCGCUGUUAUAUAUUGGUGAAAUAGGAACUUCUCUUUGAAAUAUGUACAUGAUUAUUUUUUGUCAUACUUGCAAAAAUCUCCUCCAUAAUCACUAUGCAUCCAAUGUGUACUUCUUAUCGAAGAUAAAACUAAAUUUUGCAUGCUUUUAUACUGAUAUAUUUGAGAGCAGAAUUUUUAAUUCUAAUAUUUUAAAUUGAAGAAAAACUUCGAUAUUUUGUGUUUCCCAAAUUAAAUAGCAUAUGAAAUCAAAAAUAGAAUCUAAAUUUCUAUCAUAUGCAAAUCGCUGGUUUGUUGACUAUUUUUAUAAUAACAAAAAGGAGUACUUUUUUUGCCGAUGUUCCAUCCUUUAUCGCCCUUUAAAUAAUUGUAGAUCUUUUUUUGUGGGAGAAAUUGUUUUUAUUUGCAUGUUUUAUUUGGCUGCAAUGCAAUGACAACAUGUUCAGAGUGUAUUCCCGUUGCAACGCACGGGCAAUUUUCCUAUUUCCUAUUCCUAUCCUAUAUAUAUAUAUCUCCCUAAUAAUAAAGCACGGAUUGACUUUGUCGGGUUCACCGUCGCGCACUUUUGCAAAGAAGCCCCUGUUGCGUUUGGUAUUCUAUGCGCAGUCCUCACAAUAAGUUAACACAAACCGGUACGCCCGAGGGAAAGGAAAGAAAAUCAGCCCCCCUCCCCCCGCACACCCUGCCUCCCAAUCCCAUCUCCACCCCCUGCCACGCCCCUCACCGCGCGUCGCCGUGCGACCCUGCCAGCGCGCCUACCCCUCGCCGAUCGGCUACACGCGGAUGAUGCUCGAGCGCACCAUCUGGAUCGCUUCAACGCGGCGGCUCGAGCGGUGGGGGUGGCACGGCUGCUCGAUGUAGAACGGCGGCGGCGGCGACUGGAGCUUGCAGGGGCCGGAUCCGUGCGUGGUAGGGGUUGGGGAGGCUAAUCCGAAGGCGGGCGGCGAGGCGGGGGUCGCCGGUGACGACGAGGAAAUCCAGAGCGAGAGAUCUGGCAACCUAGGCAGGAACUCGCCGGAGCCAGGCGAUGGCGGACGGGUGUGUGAGAUGGAGGGAUCCGGCGUGGCAGCGCGAAUUCCUGGCAGGUAGAGAGCUCCAAGCCAUGGCGGCUCUUCAGUUUUCCCCGGUGGAAAAGAGAGAAAGAGGAGGAUUCAGGGAGGAGGAGAGGUAGGGAGAAGAAGGUGCAGGUGCGAGCUUGGGGAAGAGGGAGUCGAACGUCAAGUGAGAGACAGGGAGGAUCAGGCAUUCUUCUUAGCCAGCGUGGUAAGGUGGAGACGCUGCUUAGGGAAUAUGUGCGUACAUCCUUGCUCAUUUUCUUCUUUCAGUUGUAGGUACUUUCCCGCAGGCGUGUACAUCCUUGCUCUUUCUCUUCUUUCGGUUUUAGGUACUCUCCAGUAUUCAAUUUGCAUGUGGAACCGUACAGAACCAGCUAGAUAUUUUACUACUGUAAGCUGUGGAGUACUGAGAAUGGCAUUUAUAUAUUGCUACAAAUGCAAUAUAUGAUUUAUGCAGCAGAGAGGAGGCUGCAAGGGGAGAGGAACGGUGCAUUGAGGUUGAGGAACACAGGACACAUCGGGACCAGGGAGCUCGAGAAGAGGCUCGAUCGAUCUCGACAAGAAGUGAUCUCCACUUGGUGACAAGAAGGCAAAGAAUAUCAUCUCCAAAGUGUUCAGUGCAGAGAAGAUGAACCAUGCAAAAACUCAGGCUGGACCACCGGGGCUUCACUGCUGGUGGAACGACAGAGGGCUUGGCUGCUACCAGGGUGAUCCAAAUGGAGUAUCUAGGUAGCGUGUUUGUGGCCUCUUGCACUAACAUGAUUAAUUGUAGCUUCUAUUCCAUGACAUGAUUUUUGCAGCUGUAAUGAUAUGUUUCAUGCGAGAGGACAUAAAUUUGCAUCCUAUUUUUCUGCCAAUUAGUUCCAAAUCACAAAUGUUUGUGCUAUUAGUGACAAUUUGGUGGAGAAGACGAGUCAUAUAUACAGCCAAUGUGUUAAUUUCUGUGAUGCGGCAAGCAAAGUUGGCAAUAGUACAGUAUAACCAUCAUGAUCUGCACAGGGAUAUCACCUAUGUGCAUAAGUCAUAAUCAUUCGGUUUUUAUUUGGCAAGCUGGAGCUACCCGGAACUUUCGAUUUUGGUGCCAAGGUGGAUGGAUUGAACUGGGUGACCCACUGUCAGGUCAUAAAUCACUUAUUUUGUUGAAGGAAGAGACUCCAUUUGCUGCCGAGGACCAAAUCGCACUAACUAAUCUGUUACUUGCUUAGAAGAAAUUGAGAAAGGGGAGCAUCUUACACCUAAUAGGAAGUGGUGGUCUAAUCCCAACCUCACCCAAUAAACAUACAUUACUAUAAAAUUUGCUUGCAUGCCGCCGCCUAUAUUUUUUCAUUACUAUCAUAACCUUUUUAGAUCAAGCAUGUCAUGCAUUACAUUUCAUUAUGUAUAUUGCAACUUCAAGACCACAAUUCCUCGGUAUGUAACAUCUGUAUGUUGACUAUUUUUUCGAAUUGAAUUAUGUAUUCAAAGCUAUUAUUCAGCAUAGACAUCAUUUGAAAAUCA
This is a long non-coding RNA of Triticum aestivum (bread wheat), 3699 nucleotides long. RefSeq lists it as uncharacterized. The transcript is spliced from 5 exons. The record is from RefSeq and is a predicted model, not a curated record. Lineage: Eukaryota; Viridiplantae; Streptophyta; Magnoliopsida; Poales; Poaceae.